CUAUCUAUCUAUUUAUUAUAAUCUAUUAUAAUAUAGUAAUGAUGAAGCGCGGGCUGUGACGUCGCCAACUCACUCUCUUUCCAUUCCUAAGGUUUGCCACAUCAUAUUAUAGUCCCACGUGUCAACUUCUAUUACUCCAACAUUGUUAUUGGGCUGUAGCUAUUCUCCACUUUCUCAUUUUCAUCUCCUAAUUGAUCAGCCCACCCAUGAAACUUUUACGUUAUUUUCCCCACUCUUAAUUUACACAACUUUUUGUUUUCCAAUUCAAUUUUCACCUAAAGCAUUUAUUUUGAAACUGUCAAUCAAUAUCCUAUUCACAAACUAGCAACAGUUUGCAUCACAAUGAAUUGCAAAUUUCAGAUCACAUUCACAGAGUACCAUUGAAUGAUAAUGCUUUUGCAUCCCCACUCCUUCUUCAAGAACCAACGCCCUUCUUUUCCCUUUUCCUAACCCUGCCCUUCCUCCUCUCCACCGCCUCCUUCUCCCAAAGGGACUUAAGGAACAAACAUGAAUCUGAGUUGCGGUUUUCAGGACUCUAUUUAUUUUUCUAACAUAGUUGAUCCCUCACGUGUUGUCCAAAUCUCUUGGCAAGCAAGGUCAGGGCCUUUCUCUACAAAGGUUUUUUUUUCAGACAAGGAGUGUGACUACCUUAUUUCUUUGGCAAGAAGGCAAAGCAUAUGUGAAAAAUAUAAUAUGCUUGCGGUUGCUGCAACACUGAAUUCACACAAAGGUGGAGUGUGAUGAUGCCUUCCCCACCUUAAGAGCUAACCAUAAAAAGCUGCAGAGCGAGAAGCAAAGGAGAGCCAGCAUAGUCACUACUACUGUCUCAAACGAGAUGUUGGGGGACAAAAAGAACAUGAUAGCAAUUGUUGCGCUCUGCCAUAUCCUUAGCUGCGCAAAAGCACCCUCCUGUACCGGAAAGCAACAAAACACUAGACAUUAGGGCUAACUAACUUCUGUGUGUUUGAAUCAGCGCUGUCAAAACUGAUUGUAGUUGUGGAUUGAGUUGAUUUUGGUAAAAGUAAGUUGAAAAUGAAGUGACUUAUGUUUGAAUA
Molecule: long non-coding RNA, 1055 nt
Organism: Lotus japonicus
Lineage: Eukaryota; Viridiplantae; Streptophyta; Magnoliopsida; Fabales; Fabaceae
Exons: 4
Source: RefSeq, a predicted model, not a curated record